RNAcentral lists this small RNA (16 nucleotides) under Arabidopsis thaliana (thale cress). Its description in RNAcentral is "ATSL116140". Lineage: Eukaryota; Viridiplantae; Streptophyta; Magnoliopsida; Brassicales; Brassicaceae. The record is from RNAcentral.
UCAGAGUCCACAUUUU